RNAcentral lists this ribosomal RNA (497 nucleotides) under uncultured bacterium. RNAcentral's name for it is "partial 16S ribosomal RNA". It matches the Rfam family "Bacterial small subunit ribosomal RNA", at positions 28 to 507 of the family's 1533-position model. The record is from RNAcentral.
GAUGAACGCUGGCGGCGUGCCUAAUACAUGCAAGUCGAGCGAACAGACGAGGAGCUUGCUCCUCUGACAUUAGCGGCGGACGGGUGAGUAACACGUGGAUAACCUACCUAUAAGACUGGGAUAAAUUCGGGAAACCGGAGCUAAUACCGGAUAAUAUAUUGAACCGCAUGGGUCAAUAGUGAAAUACGGUUUUGCUGUCACUUAUAGAUGGAUCCGCGCCGCAUUAGCUAGUUGGUAAGGUAACGGCUUACCAAGGCGACGAUGCGUAGCCGACCUGAGAGGGUGAUCGGCCACACUGGAACUGAGACACGGUCCAGACUCCUACGGGAGGCAGCAGUAGGGAAUCUUCCGCAAUGGGCGAAAGCCUGACGGAGCAACGCCGCGUGAGUGAUGAAGGUCUUCGGAUCGUAAAACUCUGUUAUUAGGGAAGAACAAAUGUGUAAGUAACUAUGCACGUCUUGACGGUACCUAAUCAGAAAGCCACGGCUAACUACGUG